UUAUUGAUGUGGAUCAUGGAAUUAUUUGCGAAAAUGUUCCCAUACCUACACCAACGGGAGAAGUGGUGGCUUCCAGGCUAAACUUCAAAGUAAGAUGAUAUUCAAAAAUCUUCUGAUUGUUGCCAUCACACUAAUAAAAAACAACACAGAAUUCAUGUACAUUUCUUAAAUGCAUGGAGGAGCAUAUGGAAAGGAGGGGAAAUCAAGGAACGUAUGCACAGUGGCUCAAUUACAGAAGCAGUUAAUUCCUCAGAAGAAAGAAAGAGAAAUUUGAUGUCUACUGCUUUAUUGCCAGGUUGAAAAUUAAAAUUACAGUUCACUGAGAGCCUAUACAAGGUUCCUAAACGGUUUUUCACACCGGGUUUUACCUCACCUGAAAAAACAGGCCAAGAGAUUGUGAGGAUCCAUAAUUAGUGUUUUAAUCCAUUUGGCAGGACUCAGUGUUUUUCACGGUCUGUGAUACUGGGAUCUGCGUCUUCACUGUCAUGUGUUAAACCUUUAAGUCUUGUCCAAAUCAUGUCAUUACCUAGAGAAUCCUUCUGUGAAUUCCAGGCAGGUUGCCAUCUUUCUGCUUCCGCCUCCUCACCUUGACAAUGGGGAGAAUAACGGUAACCUGCCUUUUGGAUGUGAGGAUUAAAUGAGACAGUUGGUGCAAAGCAGUCGGCGCAGGAUCUGGCACAAAGUGAAGCCUUCAAUAAAUGAUGAUUACAGUAGUUUUGACUUCCCUCCAGUCGGAAUAUCGUUGAGUUGAAGUUAGUGGCUAUGUCACAGCUGUGUCUCAGGCUGGUGUCUGCCGCCCUGAGCCAAGCCGUAAAAAUCCCUAGAAUAACUUUGCAAAAGCCUGUUAGCCUCUGGAGGCUCCUACACUUCUUUAUUUUAUUUUGCUUUAUUUUGUUUUAUUUUAUUUUAUUUUACUUUAUUGCAGUGACAGUGGAUUCUAACAUCACGUAGCUUUCCAGAGGUACGUUGUAAUACAUUUCGAAUUCUGUGUAGAUUACGUCGUGUUCACCACCCCAAAACUAAUUAUAGUCCGUCACCUCACAUGUGAGCCUCAUCGCCCCUUUUGCUCUCUCCCCUCCCCCCCUCCCCCUACGGUAACCACCAAUCCAAUCUCCGUUGCUCUGUGCGUGUUCGUCAUUGUUUUUAUCAUGUACUUAUGAGUGAGAUCACACGGUGUUUGACUUUCUCCCUCUGAUUUAUUUCACUUCACAUAAUACCCUCAAGGUCCAUCCACGUUGUCACAAAUGGCCGGAUCUCAUCGUUUCUUAGGGCCGAUGGCAUUCCAUUGUGUAUACAUACCACAUCUUCUUGAUCCAUUCUUCCCUUGAUGGGCACCUAGGUUGCUUCCAAGUUUUGGCUGUUGUGAAUAAUG
RNAcentral lists this long non-coding RNA (1372 nucleotides) under Equus caballus (horse). RNAcentral describes it as "lncRNA (ENSECAG00000036798.2)". The record is from RNAcentral. Lineage: Eukaryota; Metazoa; Chordata; Mammalia; Perissodactyla; Equidae.